RNAcentral lists this long non-coding RNA (694 nucleotides) under Salvia miltiorrhiza (redroot sage). RNAcentral describes it as "long non-coding RNA (SMIL_LNC005980)". Lineage: Eukaryota; Viridiplantae; Streptophyta; Magnoliopsida; Lamiales; Lamiaceae. The record is from RNAcentral.
AUAUCUGUUUUGUAAGUUUCAAUUCCUGUUGAGUUUAGUUUGGAUUGAAUAUUCCCUCCCUCCCUUUGGAUCUGUUUCGACCUACUUUUUGGCUGAACUCACUGAUGUCUUGCUGAUGAUGCUCAUUUUUCUAUUGAGUGUUGAGUUCAUUUGUUGAGAUAUUAAACACAACUUAGAGAUCUAAAGUUGUUUGUUAUGAAUUCUUUGAGUUCGGAGAUUUAUGCGCUACAUGAAUUUGUUUAAUACAUUGCAUUUUGCAGAAGAUCGACACCAAGAAAGGCAGCUGCUGCUCAUAGCUCAUUUUUCUACUAAGUGUUGAGUUCAUGUGUUGGGUAUAUUCAACAAAACUUAGAGUUCUAUAUAUGUUUGUUAUAAAUUUUGAUUUGGAAGAUUUGUGCCUAUAGGAUCUGAUUGACACUUUUCGAUAAGUGAUUGCAUUUUGCAGAUGCUUUUCAAUAAUGGAGAUUUGCAUUUUGCAGAAGACAGCGGAGAAGGCAGCUGCUCGCAACUUUGAAAGAGAAUUAUGUCUUAGCUAUCUCGUUAGAUAGUUAUUAUGUUAGUACUACUACUUCAAGAGCUUAUAAGAUUCUAUAGAUUUUGUAAUUUUGUAAAUUUUUUCAGGUCACUUUUUUAUUGAUACGACUUUGUAUAUUUCUUUUUCAAAUUUGAAAUAAAUAGAAAAUAUUUUAUUUCU